UACGUAGGGGGCAAGCGUUGUCCGGAUUUAUUGGGCGUAAAGAGCGUGUAGGCGGCUUGGUAGGUCCGCUGUGAAAACUCGAGGCUCAACCUCGAGAUGUCGGCGGAAACCACUUGGCUAGAGGCCGGAAGAGGAGAGUGGAAUUCCUGGUGUAGCGGUGAAAUGCGCAGAUAUCAGGAAGAACACCUAUGGCGAAGGCAGCUCUCUGGGACGGUACUGACGCUGAGACGCGAAAGCGUGGGGAGCGAACAGG
RNAcentral lists this ribosomal RNA (253 nucleotides) under uncultured bacterium. RNAcentral describes it as "partial 16S ribosomal RNA". It matches the Rfam family "Bacterial small subunit ribosomal RNA", at positions 524 to 776 of the family's 1533-position model. The record is from RNAcentral.